RNAcentral lists this unclassified non-coding RNA (22 nucleotides) under Chlamydomonas reinhardtii. Its description in RNAcentral is "small RNA Cre_3757". Lineage: Eukaryota; Viridiplantae; Chlorophyta; Chlorophyceae; Chlamydomonadales; Chlamydomonadaceae. The record is from RNAcentral.
UUAGUGGGAGGCGACUCGUCGU